Molecule: unclassified non-coding RNA, 301 nt
Organism: Callithrix jacchus (white-tufted-ear marmoset)
Lineage: Eukaryota; Metazoa; Chordata; Mammalia; Primates; Cebidae
Rfam family: Metazoan signal recognition particle RNA
About the family: The signal recognition particle (SRP) is a universally conserved ribonucleoprotein. It is involved in the co-translational targeting of proteins to membranes. The eukaryotic SRP consists of a 300-nucleotide 7S RNA and six proteins: SRPs 72, 68, 54, 19, 14, and 9.
Source: Ensembl
GCCUGGUGCAGUGGCGCAUGCCUGUAGUUCCAGCUACUCGGGAGGCUGAGGUGGAAGGAUCACUUGAGCCCAGGAAUUCUGGGCUGUAGUAUACUAUGCCGAUCAGGUGUCCGCAACAAGUUUGGCAUAAAUAUGGUAGCCUCCCAGAAGCGGGGAACCACCUGGUUACCUAAGGAGGGGUGAACCAGCCCAGGUCAGAAACGGAACAGGUCAAAAACUCCUGCGCUGAUCAGUGGUGGGAUCCCACCUGUGAGUACCCACUGCACUCCAGCAUGGGCAACAUAGCGAGACCCCAUCUCUG